UUCUCGUACGAUCACCGAAGUUAAGCAACAUUGAGCAGCGUCAGUAGUUAGAUGGGUGACCGCUUGGGACUACCAGGUGUUGUAA
This is a non-coding RNA of Acanthosepion pharaonis, 85 nucleotides long. The record is from the annotation of a GenBank genome assembly. Lineage: Eukaryota; Metazoa; Mollusca; Cephalopoda; Sepiida; Sepiidae.